Molecule: long non-coding RNA, 788 nt
Organism: Sander lucioperca (pikeperch)
Lineage: Eukaryota; Metazoa; Chordata; Actinopteri; Perciformes; Percidae
Exons: 3
Source: RefSeq, a predicted model, not a curated record
GUCUAUAACUAUAGGCUGUCUACCAAGCUCUGUUUGCAGCCUGAUACCGACAUUUUCUCAAGCUUAUUUAAGCUCUCUGUGUCAACUUUUGACCUACACUGAGUGCAUUACCUAAAACUAAGAGCAUUGUGUUAUCUUCUGUCUCUAAUCAGCUGAUUCUGUAACGCAGUCCCUGCUUUAAAGCUUUGUGGCGAGUUCGGCGUUGUCUGUUGUCCCGAGUUGCCCGCAUCAGUGAGCAUGGCAGGACACGGCUCUUUUUACGAGGCAAAAGGCCCAGCUGCCGAUGGAAGAAGUAUCCGCACCUCAUCCUGUGUCUCUGCUGCUUGGCCCCGGCUGCUGUCCAUGGUGCUGAAGACUUCCUCUCGUCCCCGAGAGCGACAGAGUUUACUGGAAAGCUGCGAUAACAUCCAGCUGUCGCUCCCGUUCAAGUUGUCGGCCAUCAGCAAAUACUGGUUGACGUUUGCCAUGCAACUGCGAGAACCAAUUUGAUAAUCAGAGAACUCGGAAGCAGCGGCAAUGCCUGAAAGCAAUGGAAAGACAUCGUAAGCGGGGUCAGUGGUGCUGCAGCUGAGCAGAUGUGUGCACCAUGUGCACCUCAACCCUCCAGCAGCGGCCCAGUCCUCACAGAUGCGGUAGCCCACUGCAGACACAAAGGGACACAAUCGACUCCAUCAACGGAGUUAACCGAGAUUAAAAAAAUAUGUUGUAUGACAUAAGCUGGACACUGAAAGAACUUGUUAAUAAAAAGUUAUUUCUUUCCAUACCUCUUUUGUUAAUACAAGUGAUGC